UGCGGGGUGGAGCAGUUGGUAGCUCGUUGGGCUCAUAACCCAAAGGUCGUUAGUUCGAGUCUGACCCCCGCUACUA
Molecule: transfer RNA, 76 nt
Filed under: Ancylomarina longa
Lineage: Bacteria; Pseudomonadati; Bacteroidota; Bacteroidia; Marinilabiliales; Marinifilaceae
Description: Marinifilaceae bacterium T3-2 S1-C tRNA-Met
Rfam family: tRNA
About the family: Transfer RNA (tRNA) molecules are approximately 80 nucleotides in length. Their secondary structure includes four short double-helical elements and three loops (D, anti-codon, and T loops).
Source: RNAcentral